UACGUAGGUGGCAAGCGUUGUCCGGAAUUACUGGGUGUAAAGGGAGCGUAGGCGGGAAGGCAAGUCAGAUGUGAAAUCCACAGGCUUAACCUGUGGCGUGCAUUUGAAACUGUUUUUCUUGAGUGAAGUAGAGGCAGGCGGAAUUCCGAGUGUAGCGGUGAAAUGCGUAGAUAUUCGGAGGAACACCAGUGGCGAAGGCGGCCUGCUGGGCUUUUACUGACGCUGAUGCUCGAAAGCAUGGGUAGCAA
RNAcentral lists this ribosomal RNA (248 nucleotides) under uncultured Eubacterium sp. RNAcentral describes it as "partial 16S ribosomal RNA". It matches the Rfam family "Bacterial small subunit ribosomal RNA", at positions 524 to 771 of the family's 1533-position model. Lineage: Bacteria; Bacillati; Bacillota; Clostridia; Eubacteriales; Eubacteriaceae. The record is from RNAcentral.